GGAUGUGAGGGCGAUCUGGCUGCAACAACUGUCAGCCCUUUUAUCAUCAGGGUUGCUUUGGCUGAUCUGGCUGGCUCUGCGUGUGUCCCCUUCCGCCCUCACCGCUCCAAGUUUGUGUCUCUCAAAGCUGCACGCUCAGUGGCAGAGGGCGACCACACCUGAUAGUAGCUGAGCCCCCAUGCUAGAACCUCCAAAGAAGUUCUCCAGGUCAAGACCAGCACAAAAAAGGACUUUAGUCAAACAGACGUGCAACAUGGGAUGGGAUGAAAUCCCCAUUU
RNAcentral lists this small RNA (278 nucleotides) under Fukomys damarensis (Damara mole-rat). Its description in RNAcentral is "7SK RNA (ENSFDAG00000001977.1)". The stretch from base 1 to 181 matches the Rfam family "7SK RNA". From Rfam's summary of the family: 7SK was discovered as an abundant small nuclear RNA in the mid-70s but a possible function has only recently been suggested. Two independent studies have found that 7SK RNA binds the CDK9/cyclin T complex (known as elongation factor P-TEFb). Lineage: Eukaryota; Metazoa; Chordata; Mammalia; Rodentia; Bathyergidae. The record is from RNAcentral.